UACGAAGGGGGCUAGCGUUGCUCGGAAUGACUGGGCGUAAAGGGCGCGUAGGCGGUUUAUACAGUCAGAUGUGAAAAUCCUGGGCUCAACCUGGGGACUGCAUUUGAUACGUAUGGACUUGAGUGAAGAAGAGGGUCGUGGAAUUUCCAGUGUAGAGGUGAAAUUCGUAGAUAUUGGAAAGAACACCGGCGGCGAAGGCGGCGACCUGGUCUUUAACUGACGCUGAGGCGCGAAAGCGUGGGGAGCAAACAGG
Molecule: ribosomal RNA, 253 nt
Filed under: uncultured bacterium
Lineage: Bacteria
Description: partial 16S ribosomal RNA
Rfam family: Bacterial small subunit ribosomal RNA
Source: RNAcentral